CAGCUAAUGGCAACAUUAAUAAUAGACCUGCUGCUACUAUUUGCUUCAGUAGAUCUACUAGCUUACGUUUCUACCGUUCAUGGACAGGAGCUGUUGUGCAAUGGAAAUGAACUGAUUGGUCUUACUGGUGCGAUAAACAAGUCUACAAAUCAGUGUCAGCAGGGGACUCAGCAGAACUUGAAACUUUGCCCUCCGAUGGAAGUUGUGAAUCAAGCCAUUGGCGUCGAUAGUAAUGUUCUGUUUGUAACAUGCCAAGCAGAGGAAAGAGCAGCAGUUUCUGUGAGAACAGCUGAAUGUGGCUGUGGUUGUGGCCCAGGAGCUAUAUUUAACAACAUAGGAUUAAGCCGUUGUUUUCAGAGCAGUACUACUAUUCCAGGCAUUAAUAUAGUGUAUGUAAGACCUGUGACAGACUUUAACCGACAUGUAACUGUGUACAUUGAGAACUACAAUGUGAUAAAUAGUUGUGAAAUUUCGAUUCAAUGCAUAGUACACAGGGACCACAUUUUUAAUGAUGAAAGAGCUAGAGCGUUUUAAUUUUAUUGUCAGAUACGGUAAGUUCCAUAUAGUUAUGUAUGAUGAAAUUUACACGUAGUUGUACAAUUAAGUGUGCAAACCACCAGCUAUAUAUAUGCAUGGGUCUAGGCUAUAAUUAUUAUAAGGUUAUCCUAUAUUUACAGCUGCAUGCUGACUAAAAAUUAAUGAGGGUGAUGUAUCUAUUAUUUUCUUUUGCUCUUAAUUCAAUACCAUGCUUACGCAAGUCGUUUAAUCUAGGCUGGAAUCCUAGGCAUUCUUGCAUGCUUAUAUAAUUAUAGUAGAGAUUGGGUUGACCUAGCCUCGGCCCCGGCCCGAUUUUUCAAGAAAAAUUGGCCUGGAACCGAAGCUGUGUAUAGGGUUGACCUAAGUCAGAAGUAUAAUUAUAGUGAGUAAAUACAAGCUGCUCUAUCCCGGAUUAUUGGUGACAGGUAGUUGUACUAUGUAUAUUACAGUAUAUAUAGUCACCCGUGUAUAUAUAUAGGGAAUAAUGAACCGGGAUCUGUGACCCUGACUACCAGUGAAUCCGUGGCACCGAGUACUAGUGGAUCUGUGACCCUGGCUACCAGUGAAU
Halichondria panicea is the source of this 1105-nucleotide long non-coding RNA. RefSeq lists it as uncharacterized. The record is from RefSeq and is a predicted model, not a curated record. NCBI's taxonomy places the organism in Eukaryota, Metazoa, Porifera, Demospongiae, Suberitida, Halichondriidae. The transcript has 3 exons.